CGGGCAGGUGGUCUGUUAAGUCGUUUGUGAAAACCCGGGGCUCAACCCCGCGGAAUGCAGACGAUACUGGCAGACUGGAGAUCGGUAGAGGCUAGCGGAAUUCCAGGUGUAGCGGUGGAAUGCGUAGAUAUCUGGAAGAACACCUGUGGCGAAGGCGGCUAGCUGGGCCGAGUCUGACACUCAUCCGCGAAAGCGUGGGGAGCAAACA
This 208-nucleotide ribosomal RNA is filed under the name uncultured bacterium. RNAcentral describes it as "partial 16S ribosomal RNA". It matches the Rfam family "Bacterial small subunit ribosomal RNA", at positions 568 to 774 of the family's 1533-position model. The record is from RNAcentral.